Molecule: ribosomal RNA, 253 nt
Filed under: uncultured bacterium
Lineage: Bacteria
Description: partial 16S ribosomal RNA
Rfam family: Bacterial small subunit ribosomal RNA
Source: RNAcentral
UACGUAGGGUGCGAGCGUUGUCCGGAAUUAUUGGGCGUAAAGGGCUCGUAGGCGGUUUGUCGCGUCGGGAGUGAAAACGCCGGGCUUAACUCGGUGCUUGCUUCCGAUACGGGCAGACUAGAGGCAUGCAGGGGAGAACGGAAUUCCUGGUGUAGCGGUGAAAUGCGCAGAUAUCAGGAGGAACACCGGUGGCGAAGGCGGUUCUCUGGGCAUGUCCUGACGCUGAGGAGCGAAAGUGUGGGGAGCGAACAGG